Molecule: long non-coding RNA, 441 nt
Filed under: Apteryx rowi (Okarito brown kiwi)
Lineage: Eukaryota; Metazoa; Chordata; Aves; Apterygiformes; Apterygidae
Description: lncRNA (ENSARWG00000005926.1)
Source: RNAcentral
UAAACCAAGAGCAAUUUUCUUUCUCUGACCUAACAGAUAUGACAGAGCUGUCUCCAUGGGGAGAUGCCCUCCCUGAGCCAGUGGAGGGACCUUCAGUCUGCUCUUGCAUGUGCUGGACAAGGUUUUCUCUCAACAAGCUGAUGACAGAAUAAUUUUUCCAAGUUGAUUGUUUGCCCCAUAUGGACCUCUGGAGAUCUUCAUACAGUGGAAAGAAGGAGAUCAAAAGGCUAGAAGAAAAAAGAGGCGGAGGACUGAAAAAAGCCAACAUAAAGAUCCUGCUCAGGUUUCAGUCUGGUGAUGAACAGACUUGCUCAGAGUGUUUUCUGAAAAAGUUCUGCAAGGCAGAGAAGUUGAACACUUGAUCACAUGCAGGAGCACAGGAUAGAUGGAGUACAGCUGACUCAACAGCUACAGGGAAUUUGGGUAAGUGCCCAGCAUGUC